UACGGAGGGUCCGAGCGUUAUCCGGAAUUAUUGGGUUUAAAGGGUCCGUAGGCGGGCCGGUAAGUCAGGGGUGAAAGUCUGCCGCUCAACGGUAGAACUGCCCUUGAUACUGUCGGUCUUGAGUUAUGGUGAAGUUGCCGGAAUAUGUAGUGUAGCGGUGAAAUGCAUAGAUAUUACAUAGAACACCGAUUGCGAAGGCAGGUGACUAACCAUAUACUGACGCUGAUGGACGAAAGCGUGGGGAGCGAACAGG
RNAcentral lists this ribosomal RNA (253 nucleotides) under uncultured bacterium. RNAcentral's name for it is "partial 16S ribosomal RNA". It matches the Rfam family "Bacterial small subunit ribosomal RNA", at positions 524 to 776 of the family's 1533-position model. The record is from RNAcentral.